Molecule: ribosomal RNA, 161 nt
Filed under: uncultured bacterium
Lineage: Bacteria
Description: partial 16S rRNA
Rfam family: Bacterial small subunit ribosomal RNA
Source: RNAcentral
GGAAUCUUCCACAAUGGACGCAAGUCUGAUGGAGCAACGCCGCGUGAGUGAAGAAGGUCUUCGGAUCGUAAAACUCUGUUGUUAGAGAAGAACACGAGUGAGAGUAACUGUUCUUGUAUUGACGGUAUCUAACCAGAAAGCCACGGCUAACUACGUGCCAG